CCCUUAGAUGUUCUGGGCCGCACGCGCGCUACACUGAUGCAUUCAACAAGCCUAGCCUUGACCGAGAGGUCCGGGUAAUCUUUGAAACUGCAUCGUGAUGGGGCUAGAUUAUUGCAAUUAUUAAUCUUCAACGAGGAAUGCCUAGUAAGCGUGAUUCAUCAAAUCGCGUUGAUUACGUCCCUGCCCUUUGUACACACCGCCCGUCGCUCCUACCGAUUGAAUGUGUUGGUGAGGAGCUCGGAUUGGCAGCAGUUGGUGGUUCGCCACCGGAUAUUGCUGAGAAGUCCUCCAAACCGCCCCAUUUAGAGGAAGGAGAAGUCGUAACA
This 326-nucleotide ribosomal RNA is filed under the name uncultured eukaryote. RNAcentral's name for it is "partial 18S ribosomal RNA". It matches the Rfam family "Eukaryotic small subunit ribosomal RNA", at positions 1470 to 1796 of the family's 1831-position model. The record is from RNAcentral.